UUUGAGACCAGCCUGGCCAACGUGGUGAA
Molecule: non-coding RNA, 29 nt
Filed under: Homo sapiens (human)
Lineage: Eukaryota; Metazoa; Chordata; Mammalia; Primates; Hominidae
Source: RNAcentral